This 199-nucleotide ribosomal RNA is filed under the name uncultured bacterium. Its description in RNAcentral is "partial 16S ribosomal RNA". It matches the Rfam family "Bacterial small subunit ribosomal RNA", at positions 578 to 776 of the family's 1533-position model. The record is from RNAcentral.
GCUAUUUAAGUCAGGGGUGAAAUCCCGGAGCUCAACUCCGGAACUGCCUUUGAAACUGGAUGGCUAGAAUCCUGGAGAGGCGAGUGGAAUUCCGAGUGUAGAGGUGAAAUUCGUAGAUAUUCGGAAGAACACCAGUGGCGAAGGCGACUCGCUGGACAGGUAUUGACGCUGAGGUGCGAAAGCGUGGGGAGCAAACAGG